This 253-nucleotide ribosomal RNA is filed under the name uncultured bacterium. RNAcentral describes it as "partial 16S ribosomal RNA". It matches the Rfam family "Bacterial small subunit ribosomal RNA", at positions 524 to 776 of the family's 1533-position model. The record is from RNAcentral.
UACGUAGGGGGCAAGCGUUGUUCGGAAUCACUGGGCUUAAAGGGCGCGUAGGCGGGCCGGCCAGUCGGAGGUGAAAGCCCCCAGCUUAACUGGGGAAGUGCCCCCGAUACUGCCGGCCUGGAGGGGGGUAGGGGCGUGCGGAACUUCCGGUGGAGCGGUGAAAUGCGUAGAUAUCGGAAGGAACACCGGUGGCGAAGGCGGCACGCUGGGCCCACCCUGACGCUGAGGCGCGAAAGCCAGGGGAGCGAACGGG